CUACAACAUGACAAACAAAAACAAAUGCGUAACGGAACUUUACGAAACAUAGACACUCUAACCUGUUGCUUGCUCAUAGUGCGGCUUAUGGAGUGGCGUUUCGAAAGCGCGUGGAAAUUUGGUUUGGGGAGACAUUACCUCGGAUGAGCGAGCAGUUAACGGACCAGGUCCUGGUUGAACGGGUCCAGAAGGGAGAUCAGAAAGCCUUUAACUUACUGGUAGUGCGCUACCAGCAUAAAGUGG
Molecule: small RNA, 243 nt
Filed under: Salmonella enterica subsp. enterica serovar Typhi
Lineage: Bacteria; Pseudomonadati; Pseudomonadota; Gammaproteobacteria; Enterobacterales; Enterobacteriaceae
Description: StyR-255
Source: RNAcentral